GGAUCUUAAAAUGACUGAGAUUUAUGAAUAUUUACAGAGUUGAUUCAGCUGAACUGUGUGGCUAAGCAGGUACCCCUUUCUUCUCUCAUUGCUCCAUAUAUGUCCUUCCCAAAGCUAUGUGCUUGGUGGGAAAAGAUUACCAUCUCAGGUAGAAAGAUAGAAGGAGCAUAGGAUCCUUUUGUCAAAGUUAUAUGAUUGCUGUGUUCCUGUGCUAGAACAUACAGACAAGGUCACAUUGUGAGGAAAAUGGUUUCCAAUUCUGGCCC
This 266-nucleotide small nuclear RNA is filed under the name Pogona vitticeps (central bearded dragon). RNAcentral describes it as "7SK RNA (ENSPVIG00000014755.1)". It matches the Rfam family "7SK RNA". Rfam says of the family: 7SK was discovered as an abundant small nuclear RNA in the mid-70s but a possible function has only recently been suggested. The record is from RNAcentral. Lineage: Eukaryota; Metazoa; Chordata; Lepidosauria; Squamata; Agamidae.